GUCCCACGACCCUUCCAGGGAAGAGAGUGUUCGUGACGCGGGCGGCCCCCAAAUCCGCAUAACAAUCUCUGUUGCCCCCCCGCCAAAAUCCUCAGAUCCCCUUGCUGCAGUGCAGAUCUCUCUAUAAUCCGCGCUCGUGGCGACCUCUCCUCCAGCUUCCGUUCCUGAAAUCCAUCUCUAGUUUCGCCAUUUGGGUUUUUUCUCGAGGGUUUCGCUCCUCACUCAUCUGAUUUAACGAAGGGAGCUGGGUCACACCCACAGGCCGCGGCUUCUGAAAUUCGAUGGCCGUGGCUGCAGCGCGCCUGACGCUCCCAGAUCGAUUCGACGAGGUUUACAUAGCCUCUGCCCGGUGAAAAGAUGGGCUCGUGGGUUAUACGCGCCUCGCACAUGCACGAGCUGAAUUUCUUCUCGCCUUUUCGAUCAUGACGUCUUUCGUUUUUUUGACGUAUAUGAUUUUCCCUGGUGCUAGCGCCGAGCGCAACUGUGGUUGAGAUCCAAUGCUCCUCGUUACUCCGUCCACCUUUACCUAUGGACCAGUUUGCAUGUAGUUGCAGUCUUUUUCUAAUGUCGAUAAUCUGAUGUUGUGGCUAGUUCUCCUCGAGUGGCAAUAUAAUAUUCUCCGGAUGCACAUGAUUUGGAUCAUCCGCUGUGGAGUUUAGGGUUUUGUUCAGGUUUUACAGGCUCUGCUUUCUGGUAUCUAGCAGUGUUUGUUUCUUUCGUUCUGAAUCUCGCUUUUCGUUCUGAAUCAUCUCUCGUUUCGGGACAUCCUGAGUCAUCUAAUUUUUUCCUUUUGAAUAACGUCUCCUACUAAGACGGGUAUACCCUUUUCAAGCAUUGGAUUUAUCAGUUAUUAUUACCCAUGUCUCUCCUUUUUCUUUUCAAGAAUAUAUCUCUUACUUAUUAUUUAUAUACAUCAUGAUAAGCCUCAGCACUAAGAGACAAUGUUCAUAUUUGUGUGUAUAAAUAGGGAAGUCAAUGGAUCAGGAUCCAAAUGUUUUUUCACAAUAUGGUUAAUUAAUUUUAGUUUAAAAAUAAAUAAAAAUAUACAUUUAAAUAAUUUU
RNAcentral lists this long non-coding RNA (1061 nucleotides) under Zea mays. RNAcentral's name for it is "long non-coding RNA NONZMAT000611". Lineage: Eukaryota; Viridiplantae; Streptophyta; Magnoliopsida; Poales; Poaceae. The record is from RNAcentral.